RNAcentral lists this ribosomal RNA (392 nucleotides) under uncultured Methanosaeta sp. RNAcentral describes it as "bacterial SSU rRNA". It matches the Rfam family "Archaeal small subunit ribosomal RNA", at positions 949 to 1338 of the family's 1478-position model. The record is from RNAcentral. Lineage: Archaea; Methanobacteriati; Methanobacteriota; Methanomicrobia; Methanotrichales; Methanotrichaceae.
GAAGGCCAGGCUGAAGACUUUUGCCGGAUUAGCUGAGAGGUGGUGCAUUGGCCGUCGUCAGUUCGUACUGUGAAGCAUCCUGUUAAGUCAGGCAACGAGCGAGACCCACGCCCACAGUUGCCAGCGUACUCUCCGGAGUGACGGGUACACUGUGGGGACCGCCGCUGCUAAAGCGGAGGAAGGAAUGGGCAACGGUAGGUCAGUAUGCCCCGAAUAUCCCGGGCUACACGCGAGCUACAAUGGUUGGUACAAUGGGUAUCUACCCCGAAAGGGGACGGGAAUCUCCUAAAACCAAUCUUAGUUCGGAUUGAGGGCUGCAACUCGCCCUCAUGAAGCUGGAAUCCGUAGUAAUCGCGUUUCAACAGAACGCGGUGAAUACGUCCCUGCUCCUU